Molecule: small RNA, 421 nt
Filed under: Pongo abelii (Sumatran orangutan)
Lineage: Eukaryota; Metazoa; Chordata; Mammalia; Primates; Hominidae
Description: processed transcript
Source: RNAcentral
GUAUCACUGGAACAUUUCAAGAUCAUCAAAUCAAAUUCCACAGGGAUUGGUGAUCAACCAGAAGGCUCAGACAUCUGAUUGCUGACCUGUCCAGACAUCAACUGGUCUCCCUGAACCUGAAAUCACACCAUGGAUGAUUUUGAACGUCGCAGAGAACUUAGAAGGCAAAAGAGGGAGGAGAUGCGACUCGAAGCAGAAAGAGGCGAAGUCUCACUAUGCUGCCCAGGCUGCUCUCAAACUCCUGGACUCAAGAGAUCCUCCUGCCUCGGGCUCCCAAAGUGUAGGGAUUACAGACAUGAGUCACCACACCCAGCCUGUUUGCUGAUCUUUUUUAAAAGAAUGUCUACAUUCACCUUUUCUAGGACUCAGUUCUCCAAAUCACUCUACCUUUCAUUUUGUAAGUAACAAUGGGAAGAAUAAA